AGAGUUUGAUCCUGGCUCAGAUUGAACGCUGGCGGCAGGCCUAACACAUGCAAGUCGAGCGGUAGAGAGAAGCUUGCUUCUCUUGAGAGCGGCGGACGGGUGAGUAAUGCCUAGGAAUCUGCCUAGUGGUGGGGGAUAACGUUCGGAAACGGACGCUAAUACCGCAUACGUCCUACGGGAGAAAGCGGGGGAUCUUCGGACCUCGCGCCAUUAGAUGAGCCUAGGUCGGAUUAGCUAGUUGGUGAGGUAAUGGCUCACCAAGGCGACGAUCCGUAACUGGUCUGAGAGGAUGAUCAGUCACACUGGAACUGAGACACGGUCCAGACUCCUACGGGAGGCAGCAGUGGGGAAUAUUGGACAAUGGGCGAAAGCCUGAUCCAGCCAUGCCGCGUGUGUGAAGAAGGUCUUCGGAUUGUAAAGCACUUUAAGUUGGGAGGAAGGGCAGUAACCUAAUACGUUAUUGUUUUGACGUUACCGACAGAAUAAGCACCGGCUAACUUCGUGCCAGCAGCCGCGGUAAUACGAAGGGUGCAAGCGUUAAUCGGAAUUACUGGGCGUAAAGCGCGCGUAGGUGGUUCAGUAAGUUGGAAGUGAAAUCCCCGGGCUCAACCUGGGAACUGCUUUCAAAACUGCUGAGCUAGAGUACGGUAGAGGGUGGUGGAAUUUCCUGUGUAGCGGUGAAAUGCGUAGAUAUAGGAAGGAACACCAGUGGCGAAAGCGACCACCUGGACUGAUACUGACACUGAGGUGCGAAAGCGUGGGGAGCAAACAGGAUUAGAUACCCUGGUAGUCCACGCCGUAACGAUGUCAACUAGCCGUUGGGAGUCUUGAACUCUUA
Molecule: ribosomal RNA, 838 nt
Filed under: uncultured bacterium
Lineage: Bacteria
Description: bacterial SSU rRNA
Rfam family: Bacterial small subunit ribosomal RNA
Source: RNAcentral